RNAcentral lists this ribosomal RNA (460 nucleotides) under uncultured bacterium. Its description in RNAcentral is "partial 16S ribosomal RNA". It matches the Rfam family "Bacterial small subunit ribosomal RNA", at positions 338 to 795 of the family's 1533-position model. The record is from RNAcentral.
CCUACGGGUGGCAGCAGUGAGGAAUAUUGGUCAAUGGGCGAGAGCCUGAACCAGCCAAGUAGCGUGAAGGAUGACUGCCCUAUGGGUUGUAAACUUCUUUUAUAUGGGAAUAAAAUGUUCCACGUGUGGGAUUUUGUAUGUACCAUAUGAAUAAGGAUCGGCUAACUCCGUGCCAGCAGCCGCGGUAAUACGGAGGAUCCGAGCGUUAUCCGGAUUUAUUGGGUUUAAAGGGAGCGUAGGUGGAUUGUUAAGUUAGUUGUGAAAGUUUGCGGCUCAACCGUAAAAUUGCAGUUGAGACUGGCAGUCUUGAGUACAGUAGAGGUGGGCGGAAUUCGUGGUGUAGCGGUGAAAUGCUUAGAUAUCACGAAGAACUCCGAUUGCGAAGGCAGCUCACUGGACUGCAACUGACACUGAGGCUCGAAAGUGUGGGUAUCAAACAGGAGUAGAUACCCGAGUAGUC